This is a long non-coding RNA of Phyllostomus discolor (pale spear-nosed bat), 365 nucleotides long. RefSeq lists it as uncharacterized. The record is from RefSeq and is a predicted model, not a curated record. The transcript has 3 exons. NCBI's taxonomy places the organism in Eukaryota, Metazoa, Chordata, Mammalia, Chiroptera, Phyllostomidae.
AGUCCUGCAGUGUUGAGAGAGAGGCAGCAGAGAACCGGUGAAUGGAGUAGGGUCAGGGUGGGGUAAUGCAUAACAAUAGUAGGUGACUCAAAAAGGGUUAUUUAGAUGUCAGGUUGAGUGCUUUACGUGCAUUAACUCAUUCAAUCCUCUGAAUACCUUUGAGAUGGACAGAUUCUCUUAUUAUCUCCUCUUUAUGAGGUGACUGAGGCCCAGAAAGGGGAAGAAGAUACUUGCCCUAGGUAAGUGGUGGGUUGGAUAGCAGUUAGGUGGCAGUAUACUUGCUUUAUUUUAGGUGACUAGUAGGCAAAAUGAAAAUCUUGGAGAUGAACUCCUGUGUAUUUGACUUUUAAGGGUAUAGGUUUCUU